This is a non-coding RNA of Labrus bergylta (ballan wrasse), 391 nucleotides long. The record is from RefSeq and is a predicted model, not a curated record. Lineage: Eukaryota; Metazoa; Chordata; Actinopteri; Labriformes; Labridae.
UUGUGCCUGUUGCUUUCCUGCUUCUUAUUUUGCUAGAGGGGUUCAGCUUUUAUUCUUAACCUGAGUUAAGCUGGUUUAAGUAUUAUGAGAAUGUUGCUACGUGUUUGGAGAUUCAACCAGGUUCUUCAUUAGGAAUUGAAGCGGAAAAGGAAGUCCCACACACUUAAAUGUAACUAAUGGCUGAUUCUUGUCAGCUGUACAAAACCUGACUCCAAAAUGAAGGCGAGGUUUUGGCUUAAUAACAAGAAUGAGUGCAUCAUUGCAGAUUGGACGAUGAAUUUAGAGAGACAGAAUGACACAGUUCUCCUCUCAUCCAGCUCCUCUCCCACAUGGAACUGUACAAAAGGAGCCUGGGACAACAUGAAACAUGGAAAUAAAAACUACAUGUACA